RNAcentral lists this ribosomal RNA (448 nucleotides) under uncultured bacterium. Its description in RNAcentral is "bacterial SSU rRNA". It matches the Rfam family "Bacterial small subunit ribosomal RNA", at positions 8 to 448 of the family's 1533-position model. The record is from RNAcentral.
AGAGUUUGAUCCUGGCUCAGGAUGAACGCUAGCGGCAGGCUUAAUACAUGCAAGUCGAGGGGCAGCGCGGGUAGCAAUACCUGGCGGCGACCGGCAAACGGGUGCGGAACACGUACGCAACCUUCCCGAAACUGGUGAAUAGCCCUCCGAAAGGAGGAUUAAUACACCGUAAGAUAAUGAAGCGGCAUCGCUUUAUUAUUAUAGGCAGCAAUGUCGGUUUUGGAUGGGCGUGCGCCUGAUUAGGUAGUUGGCGGGGUAACGGCCCACCAAGCCUGCGAUCAGUAACUGGUGUGAGAGCACGACCAGUCACACGGGCACUGAGACACGGGCCCGACUCCUACGGGAGGCAGCAGUAAGGAAUAUUGGUCAAUGGACGCAAGUCUGAACCAGCCAUGCCGCGUGAAGGAUGAAGGCCCUCUGGGUUGUAAACUUCUUUUAUAGGGGACGA